This 1510-nucleotide ribosomal RNA is filed under the name Acanthamoeba polyphaga. RNAcentral describes it as "16S ribosomal RNA". It matches the Rfam family "Bacterial small subunit ribosomal RNA". Lineage: Eukaryota; Discosea; Longamoebia; Acanthamoebidae. The record is from RNAcentral.
UUAUUGGGUUUUAUUCUGGCUCCGAGUGAACGCUGGUAACAUAUUUUAACACAUGCAAAUCGAACGGGAAUAGAUUAUUAUUCUAGUGGUGACCUGGUGAGUAGUAUAAGAGAAUUGAAGUGCGGGAUAGGCUAAAUUCCUAAAUCUAUAUGUAUAGAAGAUUUAUAUCGCCUGCAAUAAAGCUUUUAAAGGAUUAGGUAGUUGUUGUGGUAAUUAUUCAACAAGCCGACGAUGCUUAGCUGGUUUGAGAGAAUGAUCAGCCACAUUGGGACUGAAAACGGCCCAAGUCUUCUAAAAGGGCAGCAGUGGAGAAUAUUUGACAAUGGGCGAAAGCUUGAUCGAGUAAUGUUACGUGGGUGAUAAGAAGGCUUAAUUGCCGUAAAGCUCGUUUCGCCAAGGAUUAUAAUGCAAUCGUACUUGGAGGAGAAGCCCUGACUAACUUCGUGCCAGCAGUCGCGGUAAUACGGAGAGGGCUGGUGUUAUUCGCAUUGACUGGGUGUAAAGGGUGCGUAGGUGGUUUAUUAAGUUUCAAGGUAAAUGUUAAAUCUAAAGUUUAAAGACCUUUUAAUACUAAUAGACUAGAGUUUAUUGGGAGAUAGCUGUACAUUAAGUGUAAAGGUGAAAUUUUUCGAGAUUUAAAGGACAUUCAAUAGGCGAAGGCUGCUAUCUACUUUAAUACUGACACUGAGGCACAAAAGCAUGGGGAUCAAACAGGAUUAGAGACCCUGGUAGUCCAUGCCCUGACCGAUGAAUAUUGAUUGUACCUUUUGAUAUAAUUAAGCUAACGCGUAAAUAUUCCACCUGAGUACUACGACCGCAAGGUUAAAACUCAAAGAAACUGACGGAAGAUUGUAUAAGCGGUGGAGUAUGUGGUUUAAUUUGAUAUAACGCAAAGAAUCUUACCAACCCUUGCAUACAAGUAGUUUAAUUUAGUUUCUGAAACUUUUUCAUGAGACUAAAUGAAUUUAUUAAAAUUUAAAGUUGACCUUAAAUUUUAAUAAACUUGUACAGGUGCUGCAUGGUUGUCGGCAGUUCGUGUUGUGAAAUGUUUUGUUUAUUCAUUUAACGGACGUAACCUUCAGCUUUAUUUGAUUAAUAAAAUAAAGCAACAUUAAUUUGAAAAUUGAUUGAGAGAAGAGGAAGUCAAAUCAUUAUGGCCUAUAUAGGUUGGGCUACACACGUACUACAAUGGUAAUUACAACGUGAAGCGUAAACGCGAGUUUUAGCUAAACAUGAAAAAUUAACCUUAGUUCUGAUUAUUCUCUGUAAGUCGAGAGUAUGAAGGAGGAAUCGCUAGUAAUCGUAGAAUAGAACGCUGCGGUGAAUACAUUCUCAAUCUUUGUACACACCGCCCGUCACGCCAUGGGAAUUGGUUUGGUUAGAAGUUAAAUAGGCUGUUCCUGUAUCUUACUUCAAUUUUUAUUUUUGGGUUUUGGUGGGGAUAGUACUAAUAACGACAAUUAGAUCAAGGACUGGGGUGAAGUCGUAACAAGGUAGCGGUAGGGGAACC